Long non-coding RNA from Hirundo rustica (Barn swallow), 330 nucleotides. RefSeq lists it as uncharacterized. The record is from RefSeq and is a predicted model, not a curated record. The transcript is spliced from 3 exons. NCBI's taxonomy places the organism in Eukaryota, Metazoa, Chordata, Aves, Passeriformes, Hirundinidae.
UCUUGUAAUUCCUGAUGAUUGCAACGAUGCCUCUGCUAAGGGGAGAAAUUAUCUCCCCCAGCUCUUAGGACUCCUUCAUAGUUACAGAGAAUGGACUCCAUUCUCUUGGAGAUCGCAUCUCAGGCAGUCUAAAAGUGAUUAUGGAGUAGCAGUACAGCAGCAGCCUGCUGGGCAGCAGCAUUACUGGUGUGGGGAGCGCUGAUGAUCUUGGUUGCCCUCAUUUCCCCGCGGGAAGACUUGCCUACUUCUGAGUGCAGCCUUAAUUAAAAAGCUGGCAUUACUACUAGUGAUGAAGAAAAAAUUUCUCGUGGCUGAGAAACCACACUUUGG